This 425-nucleotide ribosomal RNA is filed under the name uncultured bacterium. RNAcentral describes it as "bacterial SSU rRNA". It matches the Rfam family "Bacterial small subunit ribosomal RNA", at positions 355 to 796 of the family's 1533-position model. The record is from RNAcentral.
UGGGGAAUCUUGCGCAAUGGGCGAAAGCCUGACGCAGCAACGCCGCGUGCGGGAUGAAGGCCUUCGGGUUGUAAACCGCUUUCAGCAGGGACGAAAUUGACGGUACCUGCAGAAGAAGCCCCGGCCAACUACGUGCCAGCAGCCGCGGUAACACGUAGGGGGCAAGCGUUGUCCGGAUUUAUUGGGCGUAAAGAGCUCGUAGGCGGCUCAGUAAGUCGGGUGUGAAACCUCCAGGCUCAACCUGGAGACGCCACCCGAUACUGCUGUGGCUAGAGUCCGGUAGGGGAGCGUGGAAUUCCUGGUGUAGCGGUGAAAUGCGCAGAUAUCAGGAGGAACACCAGCGGCGAAGGCGGCGCUCUGGGCCGGUACUGACGCUGAGGAGCGAAAGCGUGGGGAGCAAACAGGAUUAGAUACCCCUGUAGUCC